CCUCACUCCUACCGGCUUUGCGAGGGAAAACUCACAUACCGUUCGAGGGCUCCUCACUUACAGUCUUCCCAGACCUCACCAGGAGCACCCUAACUUGGCGGAAAUUAUUGCAACCUCUCCUGCAACAACUUUGCGCCAGGGAAAUUCCCUACAGAUGGGGAACACAACGAGCUGUAAUGUUUACACAUAACGGGACUUCCUACAGAGCACAGGGGCUUGUCCCGGCUGAACCUGGCUACCAUUUGGGAAUUUACCCCAAGAGGGAAUCAAAGAGCCUCACCUAACAGAACACCCACUUGAGGGAGCAGAGG
Molecule: non-coding RNA, 311 nt
Organism: Pelobates cultripes (western spadefoot toad)
Lineage: Eukaryota; Metazoa; Chordata; Amphibia; Anura; Pelobatidae
Source: the annotation of a GenBank genome assembly